Molecule: ribosomal RNA, 292 nt
Filed under: uncultured bacterium
Lineage: Bacteria
Description: partial 16S ribosomal RNA
Rfam family: Bacterial small subunit ribosomal RNA
Source: RNAcentral
GUGUCAGCAGCCGCGGUAAUACAGAGGGUGCGAGCGUUGUCCGGAAUCACUGGGCGUAAAGGGCGCGUAGGCGGCCUGAUAAGUCGGGGGUGAAAUCCUGUGGCUUAACCACAGGGCUGCCUCCGAGACUGUCGGGCUCGAGCACAGUAGAGGCAGGUGGAAUUCCCGGUGUAGCGGUGGAAUGCGUAGAGAUCGGGAAGAACAUCGGUGGCGAAGGCGGCCUGCUGGGCUGUUGCUGACGCUGAGGCGCGACAGCGUGGGGAGCAAACAGGAUUAGAAACCCUCGUAGUCC